GGAGGUUUUAGCUCAGUGGUAGAGCAUUUUGCUUGGUGUGCAAAAGGUCCGUGGUUCAAUCCCCGGCAUCUCCA
RNAcentral lists this transfer RNA (74 nucleotides) under Sphaerodactylus townsendi. RNAcentral describes it as "tRNA-Thr". It matches the Rfam family "tRNA". Rfam says of the family: Transfer RNA (tRNA) molecules are approximately 80 nucleotides in length. Their secondary structure includes four short double-helical elements and three loops (D, anti-codon, and T loops). The record is from RNAcentral. Lineage: Eukaryota; Metazoa; Chordata; Lepidosauria; Squamata; Sphaerodactylidae.